This is a small nucleolar RNA of Suncus etruscus (white-toothed pygmy shrew), 213 nucleotides long. RefSeq annotates it as small nucleolar RNA U3. The record is from RefSeq and is a predicted model, not a curated record. The transcript has a single exon. NCBI's taxonomy places the organism in Eukaryota, Metazoa, Chordata, Mammalia, Eulipotyphla, Soricidae.
AAGACUAGUUUCAGGGAUCAUUUCUAUAGUAUGUGACUAGAGAAGUUUCUCUGGUCGUAUAGAACACUUGAAGCCACGAGGAGGAGCCAGAGCGUCCUCUCCUGAUUGUGAAGCCGGCUCUAGGUGUCGCUUCUGCGACUGCCUUUGGCCAUUGAUGAUCAUUCUUCCCUUCCUUUUGGAAAAGAUAGAGGGAGAGGAUGCAGUCUGAAUGGU